GCGGAAGGUCAUUCCC
Molecule: ribosomal RNA, 16 nt
Filed under: Phytophthora inflata
Lineage: Eukaryota; Oomycota; Peronosporomycetes; Peronosporales; Peronosporaceae
Description: partial 18S ribosomal RNA
Source: RNAcentral